This 227-nucleotide long non-coding RNA is filed under the name Nicotiana benthamiana. RNAcentral describes it as "long non-coding RNA (NBEN_LNC017832)". The record is from RNAcentral. Lineage: Eukaryota; Viridiplantae; Streptophyta; Magnoliopsida; Solanales; Solanaceae.
CCUACAUCGAGGACAGUAAAAUCUCGAAGACACUCAAGCAACCUCCCCAACUCGCUUCAAAAUCUCAAAUGGGCCAAUGAACCUGGGGCUCAACUUCCCUUUCUUUCUAAACCUCAUGACGCCUUUUAUUGGCGAGAACUGAAGCCAAACCUGCUCACCAACCAUAAAGGAAACAUCACGAACCUUCCGGUCCGCAUAAUGCUUCUGUCUGGACUGGGCCGUAUGGA